UACAGAGGGUGCAAGCGUUGUUCGGAAUUAUUGGGCGUAAAGCGCGUGUAGGCGGCCUUGCAAGUCGGGUGUGAAAGCCCUCAGCUUAACUGAGGAAGUGCGCCCGAAACUGCAGUGCUUGAGUACCGGAGAGGAUGGCGGAAUUCCCCAAGUAGAGGUGAAAUUCGUAGAUAUGGGGAGGAACACCGGUGGCGAAGGCGGCCAUCUGGACGGUCACUGACGCUGAGACGCGAAAGCGUGGGUAGCAAACAGG
This 253-nucleotide ribosomal RNA is filed under the name uncultured bacterium. RNAcentral's name for it is "partial 16S ribosomal RNA". It matches the Rfam family "Bacterial small subunit ribosomal RNA", at positions 524 to 776 of the family's 1533-position model. The record is from RNAcentral.